Molecule: ribosomal RNA, 913 nt
Filed under: uncultured bacterium
Lineage: Bacteria
Description: bacterial SSU rRNA
Rfam family: Bacterial small subunit ribosomal RNA
Source: RNAcentral
AGAGUUUGAUCCUGGCUCAGAUUGAACGCUGGCGGCAGGCCUAACACAUGCAAGUCGAGCGGUAGAGAGGUGCUUGCACCUCUUGAGAGCGGCGGACGGGUGAGUAAUACCUAGGAAUCUGCCUGGUAGUGGGGGAUAACGUUCGGAAACGGACGCUAAUACCGCAUACGUCCUACGGGAGAAAGCAGGGGACCUUCGGGCCUUGCGCUAUCAGAUGAGCCUAGGUCGGAUUAGCUAGUUGGUGAGGUAAUGGCUCACCAAGGCUACGAUCCGUAACUGGUCUGAGAGGAUGAUCAGUCACACUGGAACUGAGACACGGUCCAGACUCCUACGGGAGGCAGCAGUGGGGAAUAUUGGACAAUGGGCGAAAGCCUGAUCCAGCCAUGCCGCGUGUGUGAAGAAGGUCUUCGGAUUGUAAAGCACUUUAAGUUGGGAGGAAGGGCCGUUACCUAAUACGUGAUGGUUUUGACGUUACCGACAGAAUAAGCACCGGCUAACUCUGUGCCAGCAGCCGCGGUAAUACAGAGGGUGCAAGCGUUAAUCGGAAUUACUGGGCGUAAAGCGCGCGUAGGUGGUUUGUUAAGUUGGAUGUGAAAUCCCCGGGCUCAACCUGGGAACUGCAUUCAAAACUGACAAGCUAGAGUAUGGUAGAGGGUGGUGGAAUUUCCUGUGUAGCGGUGAAAUGCGUAGAUAUAGGAAGGAACACCAGUGGCGAAGGCGACCACCUGGACUGAUACUGACACUGAGGUGCGAAAGCGUGGGGAGCAAACAGGGUUAGAUACCCUGGUAGUCCACGCCGUAAACGAUGUCAACUAGCCGUUGGGAGCCUUGAGCUCUUAGCGGCGCAGCUAACGCAUUAAGUUGACCGCCUGGGGAGUACGGCCGCAAGGUUAAAACUCAAAGGAAUUGACGG